GUGACGAGCGGCGGACGGGUGAGUAAUGUCUGGGAAACUGCCUGAUGGAGGGGGAUAACUACUGGAAACGGUAGCUAAUACCGCAUAAUGUCGCAAGACCAAAGUGGGGGACCUUCGGGCCUCAUGCCAUCAGAUGUGCCCAGAUGGGAUUAGCUAGUAUGUGGGGUAACGGCUCACCUAAGCGACGAUCCCUAGCUGGUCUGAGAGGAUGACCAGCCACACUGGGAACUGAGACACGGUCCAGACUCCUACGGGAGGCAGCAGUGGGGAAUAUUGCACAAUGGGCGCAAGCCUGAUGCAGCCAUGCCGCGUGUGUGAAGAAGGCCUUCGGGUUGUAAAGCACUUUCAGCGGGGAGGAAGGCGUUAAGGUUAAUAACCUUGGCGAUUGACGUUACCCGCAGAAGAAGCACCGGCUAACUCCGUGCCAGCAGCCGCGGUAAUACGGAGGGUGCAAGCGUUAAUCGGAAUUACUGGGCGUAAGGCGCACGCAGGCGGUCUGUCAAGUCGGAUGUGAAAUCCCCGGGCUCAACCUGGGAACUGCAUUCGAAACUGGCAGGCUAGAGUCUUGUAGAGGGGGGUAGA
This 582-nucleotide ribosomal RNA is filed under the name uncultured Enterobacteriaceae bacterium. RNAcentral describes it as "SSU rRNA". It matches the Rfam family "Bacterial small subunit ribosomal RNA", at positions 88 to 665 of the family's 1533-position model. Lineage: Bacteria; Pseudomonadati; Pseudomonadota; Gammaproteobacteria; Enterobacterales; Enterobacteriaceae. The record is from RNAcentral.